AUUGAACGCUGGCGGAAUGCUUUACACAUGCAAGUCGAACGGCAGCACGGGGGCAACCCUAGUGGCGAGUGGCGAACGGGUGAGUAAUACAUCGGAACGUGCCCAGUCGUGGGGGAUAACGUAGCGAAAGUUACGCUAAUACCGCAUACGAUCUACGGAUGAAAGCGGGGGACCGUAAGGCCUCGCGCGAUUGGAGCGGCCGAUGUCAAAUUAGGUAGUUGGGGAGGUAAAGGCUCACCAAGCCGACGAUCUGUAGCUGGUCUGAGAGGACGACCAGCCACACUGGGACUGAGACACGGCCCAGACUCCUACGGGAGGCAGCAGUGGGGAAUUUUGGACAAUGGGCGCAAGCCUGAUCCAGCCAUUCCGCGUGCAGGACGAAGGCCUUCGGGUUGUAAACUGCUUUUGUACGGAACGAAAAGGCUCUGGUUAAUACCUGGGGCUCAUGACGGUACCGUAAGAAUAAGCACCGGCUAACUACGUGCCAGCAGCCGCCGUAA
Molecule: ribosomal RNA, 500 nt
Filed under: uncultured bacterium
Lineage: Bacteria
Description: partial 16S ribosomal RNA
Rfam family: Bacterial small subunit ribosomal RNA
Source: RNAcentral